AAAAAAAAAAAAAAAAAAGUCAAAUGUUAGACAAUUUUGAGCCGUGAACUUCAAAUAAGCGGAUUUACUUAUUCAAAUUUUAGUGUAAUUUUUUUAAGGAUUAAUUUUAUAUAUACUACUAAUAUGUAUACCAUCACCAUUAGAUAUAUGAUACAUGUGUAAAAUUUAAAUUUGAAAUUCAAAAAUUGCUCAUAAAUCAUCCAUCCAACCGUGAUAGUGUAUAUAAAAUUUAUUCAUUUUUUAAUGUAUAUGCAAAUUUUCAUGUAAUUGUGUCAGUUGUGUACAAUAUUCUAUGCAUUUUAUACGUCAUCUACAUUAGCAUGUUUACAUGUGUUUGAAGGAUAGAAGAUUACUUGAAAAUUUCUUUAAAAUAAUUAUUCACAGUACUUUUUGUAAUAUGAUGUAAUUGAAAUAAUCAGAUAGUUGAGAAGUUUUUUUUUUUUUUUUUAAAAAAAAACUUAGGAUACCUAUUUGUGAUGCAAGGGAAAAAAAAAAAAGAAAAAUUUUCCAUAUAAUCACAUAUCCUAGCACACUUGAAAAUUUUUGGGAAAACAUUUGCAUUUGGUAUUGAACCGCAAUAUUUGCCUUCAUUUACAUAACAAUAUAGAAUAUUGGGUUGGACUGAUGGCAUAAAUAAUUGCAUAUUCCUUUGAUUGAUUUUAAAGUCAAUUGUACGUACUUAGGGUGUGUUUGUUUGGAUUGAAAAUAUUUUAUAGAAAAUGCUUUUCACAAUUUCCUGUGUUUGGUUGCCUUAGAACUGGUGAAAAUAUUUUACGUAAUAAAUUAUUUUCCCCAUUUUGAUGUGAAACAACUUCCUUAAACGAGGAACUAAAGUUGAUUUCCAAAGCAACGCAUCCCGUUGGCAAAAUCUAAACUUCUGUCAUUUGUUGACAGAGGAACAUUCGCUACAAAGGACACGAAAAGAUACAAAAAGCGUGUUAAACAAUUUGCUGAAUCUUCACUCACCACAAACUCAUCAAUGAUUACAUUACUGACAACGUUUCAGCGCAAAUGGAAUUGUCUCCUUUUUAGCAACUUGAAUUUUCCUUCUCCAUGCGGAUUCUUUUGAAACUCCAAUUUUUUCAUCAAAUUGCCCUUGAUCUUUAUCCUUGAAAGUUUAUACUAUUUGAUUAUGAAAAUUCGAUUUAGAGUUUGUAAAUAUUACUAAUACAUAAAAAGAAUGUCAUUUCACGGAUGGAUUUCAUAAGUUGGGAUUUGUCAGUUGGUGGUGAAGUACAGUAACAAUGGGCAGAGAGCAACGGUGGUGGCAAUUAUUCAUUGACAUUUUAAUGAUAGGAGCAAAGUUUCAAAUCGCAACCAAAUACCUGAAAAUUAUGUAAAUGCAAAUCUUUUCCUAGAAGAUAAUUUCAACAAAAAAUAAUUUCCUAAUGAAAAUAUUUUACAUCUAAUCAAACAGACCAUUAGUGGUGUAUGAUUUCACGUUAGCUUCUUAAACCAUACAAGUCACUGAGGGUGUUUGGACAGCCAAUUAUUUGGCCAAAUAUAUUUGCUGACAUCACCAUUACAAUUUCCAAUACACCUUUUUAUCUUCCCAAUUACCUUUUUAUCUCACAUACAUCACAUCACAAAAAGUGCUACAGUAAAAAUAUUUCAAAUAACUUACAAUGCAAACACACUCACUGUCAAUUAAUCCCAAAUGCGCGUUUACCCAUUUGCACAUAUGAAAUUGACUCCACCUAAUUCAAUUCUGAGCACUUGGGAUUUCCAUUCGGAGUCUGUCUCUUACUGUUCCCAAUAGCGACUUCCAUUAUGGAUUUUGAAAACAAAACAAAACAUUUACUACUUCCAAACCAAAUAACUUGUCUUCUUCUUUUAUUUUCCUUAAACUUUUCUUUCGUCUAAGUAGUAGCAGUAGUAGUAAUUUUAAUUUGUCCGGUCCUAAACUCCUAAUUGCAUUUCUUUUGCAAACUGUCCUACGACAAGCCAAACAAUGCAACGGCUCGGGCGGACCACGCCGCCUCCCCGUUUUGCGCGUUUGUUGACUGCGUAAGCGUUAACGCCGUUUACAAAUUUUCAGAGGACACAAAAAAGUUCUCUCUCUCUCUCUCUAUAUAUAUAUAUAUAUACACACACAUACAUAUUUAUACAUGUAUAUAUUUAUACAUGUAAAUAAAACAAGAGCAAAUAAGGGAUGGACACGUAGGAUUUGAGACAACUCUGACCCAUGUCUUUUUGUCGAAAGUCUAGCUGUCGUCCAAUCACCAGGUCACUGAGCUGAUCAAAAAUGGCUCCCAGCCCAAUGACGGAGCCAAGGGGGGCAGAGGGGGGCCAUGGCCCCCCCUAAGUUUUGAGAAUUUUAAUUCAUAAUAUGUAAAUAUGUGUGUAAAAUAAAAUUGGCCCUCCCUAAAUUUUUUCAAUUUUAGUUUAUAUUAUGAGAGUUGAUAUAUAUAUAUAUAUAUAUAUAUAUAUAUAUGAAUUAGUCAUCUUUGAAUGGAAUUUCAAUUUUGACCCAAAAAAAAAAAAAUCCUGGCUCCGUCACUGUCCCAGCCAUCAGCUGUAUGUACCCACAUCUGUGGCCUCUCACCAGAUUUCUCAACGAUUUUCUUUUUCCCAAAAACUUGCCUUUUGAUAGCGUAUCCAUUUGAUCAAAUAAUUCUUUCUCCUAAUCCUGCUACAAGGAGUAUUUGUUUUUUAAUCAAUUGGAAUGAAUUCGCAACUUCAAAUUUCCAACCAUAUUCAUAAAAGCCUAAUAAAUGAACUAUUACAUAAACUCCUUAAACGUACAUUCAUCAAAAUUUGUAAUUACCCGCUAUAAUUUUUUGUGUGAAAAUUAAUAUGGCUCUAUAUCGUGAUGAAAAAUAUAAAUGAAUUCUACUUUUUUCAUUCAUCAAUAUACGUGAUAAGUACAAAAUUUCUAAUCUAAUUACUUCUCGGAUCCUACUUUAAGUACAAAAUUUCUUAAUUCUAAACACAAGCUUCAAAAGAAAAGAGAAAAUGUUAACUUUUUUCUAGUAAGACUGUUCUUAUCUUACUUGUAAUAAAGUGGUACAUAAACUUAUAUCGAUGGAGUAUGAUUUUCAGUUUGUAAUAAAUUACUUCAUUUUUUGCAUUAAAUUAUACUUUUCUAUUUAAGGACGUGAUAUAUUGUAUUCACAUACGGGAACAUUAUUUUGUCUUUAUUGUGAAGAAGUGUCCCAUUUUUUCUUCUAUAAGGUGGUGUUUUUUUUUUUUUUCCACUAAGUUGAUACAAUUUUAUGGAAAUUCUUAUAAGAAGAAGAUAAGAUGAGAAGUGUAAAUGAGCGCAAAUUCGAGACCAUAGAAAGAGAGAAGAAAAAAAAAAAAAAAGUCUUCCCCUGAACUACGCUGACAACUCACUCGCAAUUCACAAAGGCGGCUCUAACACGAGCGUAGCUAGCUCGGGUGUUGGUCUUCAAUUUCAGCCGCAGCUCCAGCUCUGUCAGAAGUCUAUUUAAUCAGAAAAAGAGAGUAAUAAAACGCACCUAAACUCUACGGCCUUUCUGGCAACCCACAAUUAAACUAGUAGCAAAAGCCAGAGUGCAAGGUACCAUCGCCCCCACACCAAAAAAAGAAAAAAGAAAAAGAAGCUAUUUUCUCUCUCUCCUCUCCUUCUCCCUUUCAGCUGAUACACUGCUGCUAGUUCUUUCUUCUGAAAUCCAAAUCUAAGUCUCUCACAUCUCCCAAUAAAAGCCUGAAAAAUAUCCUCACAAGUUUCGUGCGGCUGAACUUGCCGGCAAUGUGGAAGCUCCGGUCGCUGUUUAGCCUCUUGCUCCUGCUUUCUUCAGCUGCUGCAUUGGUUAGUGCUCGAGGAUCCACUAGAAAAUGGCAAACUCUCAGCGGUGAGUAGUGUUAGGUUGUUUUUUCCUCUGUCUGCCUAUUUUUAGCUCCUUGUUUUUGGUCGAAUUUCAGGAACUAGAAAAAGAAAUAACAUAAAACGAUGGAGUGAAUUGAAGAAAUUCGGAAGUGGAAAUUGCGGAAGAAGAAUUUUGUUGUCACGUGUUGAAAACGUGUGGAGUAUGUUAAUCUGCUGAGAAGAGUUAAACCGGAUUUUCAAUUAAUCAAAAUUGCUUUGGUUUAUUUUUCCUUUAGAAAAAAAAAGAGCAGGAAUUAUUUUUAUUAUUGCUAUAUUUUUUUUGGAUUUUUACCUCUUUAAUUUCCAUUGCUUAGUAGAGACCAUCUCCGUUAGUCUAAAAUGACGAAAUAUGAUUAUGAUCAUAAGACUAUAGAACUCAAAGGUUAUAUAAAUAUAUAUAUAUAUAUAUAUAUCAAACAGUUUCCAAAUUUUUAUACCUGAAUGAAACUUUAAAUCAGGUCUGUGAGAUGAAAAAACUCAAAUAUUUUCUAGAUUUCCUUAUAGCAGAUUACUUUCUUACUCUAGCAGCUGAAGAACUAGUUACAUAAAUGGUAGCCUCAAUUGAUUUGCAGGAGUUGAAGUCAAAAUUUAUAUUUUCACGAAGCUACCUAUGAAUGACUAAAUAAUUAGCGUCAUUUUUGGGUUUCAAUUUUUUCCAUGCAACACUUGCCGGAAGAAGAAGUGACUUCUUUGCUUUUCUUUUACAGGAUCUGCACCAGUAGCCAUAGCUCGUGGAGGAUUUUCUGGAUUAUUCCCAGAUUCAAGCUACAAUGCAUAUGUACUCGCUGUUGGUACGAGCUUACCAGACUUAGUCCUAUGGUGUGAUGUCCAGCUCACGAAGGAUGCAGCGGGAAUCUGCUUUCCAGAUUUGAAGCUUGACAAUGCUUCUGACGUUAAUGUGGUUUUCAAUAAUAGGGCAAGUACCUACAUUGUCAGUGGGGUCUCUACACACGGAUGGUUUUCAAUUGAUUAUAAUCUUAAGGACUUGCAACUCAUCAGCUGUAAGUUAUUGUUUGUGAAGAGCUAUUAACUACUUAUACUCUUAUAACUCUUAUUGAGCAUGCACAUGAUCCUUGUUCAUCCCCUCCUUUCUCCCGUCAUCGGAUUUGUUUCGAAUACCACAUCCACGUUGCUUGCAGAUUUCAUGCCAAACUUUUUAUUUCCUCUCAUCCUUCUGUUUCAUUUCUGGUAAUAGCUUCCAGUUCCAAGAAACGGCUCACUUUGUUUGGGCAGUGCUUUGGAUUGUGCAUUUGUCGUGGAAUAUAUUAAGAGCAAAUAAGCUGUUGAGAUUUAAAAAAAAAAAAAAAAGCUGUUGAGAUAGGUAUCUGGCUGGAGUUUUUCAGCUGGGCUGGUUAGGAAAUUCAAGUGAACAUUGGCUUCUCAUCGGCUGAUAACAAACUUAAUUUUGCAGCUGAAAUUAUUUCUUAAACCUUUUGAGAUCACUUUCAUCAUCGGUUUUUUACUAUGUUGGAGUGGAAAAAUGUUUUAGGAAGGAAGAAUUAAACAUUUAAAGCUUUUCUAUUACACUGACAAAGUGUUCUGUCCUGUAUAGUGAAGCAAGGAAUCUAUUCUCGAACUAACAGAUUUGAUGAAACACAACAAAUUCUUACGGUUGAAUAUGUUGCAACCCAAGUCCAACCAUCUGCACUGUGGCUGAAUGUUCAGGUAUGUGCCAACUGCAGAGUUGUAAUUCAUCCUCAUUCCUCUGAAUAUUUUAGCAAAUGAAACCUAUCAUCUUGAGUAAUUGUUUCGAAUGUUUUUGUAGCACGAUGCUUUCUACAGCCAACACAAUCUAAGUAUGAGAAGCUAUGUUAUCUCUGUAUCUCGAAGGGUGGUUGUUAAUUAUAUUUCAUCACCAGAGGUGAAUUUCCUAAAGAGUAUAGCUGCACGCUUCAGACCUAGUGUGACCAAGCUUGUUUUUCGGUUUCUUGGACCAGCUGAUAUUGAGCCCUCAACCAACCAGACAUAUAGUUCGCUUCAAAAGAAUCUAACAUUCAUCAAAACAUUUGCCUCUGGUAUUCUUGUUCCCAAAUACUACAUAUGGCCUGUGGAUAGCAGCAGCCACUAUCUUCUUCCUCAUACAUCUAUAGUCUUGGAUGCUCACGAGGCAGGCCUUGAAGUUUAUGCAUCAGAAUUCUCAAGUGAUGUUACUUUUGCCUACGACUAUAAUUAUGAUCCUGUAGCUGAAUAUCUAUCCUAUAUUGAUAAUGGCAACUUUUCCGUGGACGGGGUGCUAUCUGACUUCCCAAUAACUCCAUCGGAGACCAUAGGUGAGAUGCAGAAUUAAUUGACUUCAUUUAUUCCUGUUUAACAAGUCAGGUCUUAGAUGAAGCGUCUGGCCAUGUAAUUUAGAACUAAACCAUUUCUAAGUAGCACUCUAUGAGAGUAAAUGAAUAAUUUUUACUACAUUGACAUGUUUAUAAAUUUUGUUGAACAUGCUUGCGACCAGAUAAAAGGUGUUGUAACUUGAAAAUUGACAGGAGAUUCUAGCAAACUGGCAAUUUUACUUUAAUACAGACAUCAACUUUCUGUAAUUAUGAGCUGGAGUACAAAGUUCAUAGAAUAUUCAGCACUCUUUGGUUUCUAUGACUCCAAUUCAUGCAGCACCAAAUAUGAGAAGCCCAUGAAGUGAGAAAAGUUUCAGCACUUAUAUGUCUUUGCAAUGCAGUUGGCAAGUCUGGAUCAUGCUUGCUAAACCUGAAAUUUGAAUGUCCCCUUUAGCUAUGAAAUUGGUAAAAUAUGAAUGACUCUAGGAACCUGUUGAUACUACAUUCACCCUCUGCAUGUAUUUCACUGAAUUCAUUGUGCUAAAUAUGUAAGAUGUCUAUCUCAUGAAUUUUAAAAUUCCUUAUCUCUUGCAGAUUGCUUCUCCCACAUUGGCAAAAACGAAACUGAUCAAGGUACAAGACUAAAACGAGUGCUUCCUUGAUGCAAAGUUCACUGGCCACUCUAUAGCUUAAGCUAAAAUUUUCGCCCUGUUUUUUUUCCUUUGAGAACAACAAUUCAUCAUAUUGGGCUAUCAAGAUAUUAAUCCUUCUCUCCUGUCUUUGCUUCAGCUAAGGUUCUGAUUAUCUCACAAGAAGGAGCAAGUGGAACAUUUCCUGGUUGCACUGAUAAGGCAUAUGACCGAGCUGUUACAGAUGGAGCAGAUUUUAUUGACUGUCCAGUUCAAAUGUCUCAGGAUGGGGUUCCUUUCUGUAUGGGAUCUAUAAACCUUAUAGAAAGAACAACAGCUGCUCAAUCAGUCUUCAGAAGUUUCACAAAGACCAUUCCAGAUCUUAACAUACAGGAUGGAAUAUUUGCCUUCAAUCUCACAUGGAGUCAAAUUCAGACUUUGAAGCGUAAGUUCAUCGUGAAGUAGUUUUUUGUUGACCUCAUCCGAUUUACCAUGCUAUGAAAAAUUACUUAGGGUAAAAUAUUUUGAUGCUCCUAAUUAUGGUAAAACUAGUAUGACUAGUUGGUGCAUUUAUAGUCUCUCCUUUACUAACUGAUUUUUGCUAAAAUGCCAUGGACAAUUCUUUAAGGGUCUGUUUGGUUGGAAGUAAAAUGUUUUCCUUGGGAAAUUAUUUUCCGUGGAAGUAAUUUUCCAUGAAAAUCAUUUCCCUUUCAUCAUUUUCAGGUGUUUGGUUAGCUUAUUGAAAAUAUUUUCUUACUUCAUUUUUCUGGUGUUUGUUUAACUUUUGAAAUAUUUUCACUUUUAUCUCUAUCUUUACUUUCUACACAUUAUAACUUCAUACUUCUUCCCAUGCAAAAUAAGAAAAUUUAUCUCAUUAUUUAACUUUAAAAAACCUUGGAGAAAUGUAUAUAUGAAUAAAAAAUAUCUCCUUAAGCAAUAAACAAAUUGCUGGCCAUUUAGUGUCAAAUAUCAAUCACAUGCAAUGCUUAUUGUGACAUAUAUCUUGCACUCUUAUUGCUGAGAGUUUCUCUAGAAAAGAAUGUCCCUAUUAUACAUAAUUAAUUACUAGCAUAGGAUGAGUAGGAUGAGGUUUUUUUUUAUUUUGAAUAUACUAGGGGGAGGGUUGGGUUGGGUUGGGUGGUACGGGGGAGGGAGUGUAAGGAAGAGAUCUUGGGUUGGAGUCCUCCUGUUUACACUAAAAAAAAAAAAGAACAUACUACAAGAUAUUUUCAGUAAGUUUGGAACAUACUACAGGCGGGAUGCAUGCAUUUCGGAAAACAACUUCAGUAAGUUUGGAAGGGAAGUUGUUUUUCAUAAGAUGAGUGAAAAUAUUUUACAUAGGAAAAUGUUUUCAGUAACUUUUGUGCAACCAAACACGGGAAAUUAGGAAAAUAUUUUCACCCGAAACAAACGGACCCUAAGACUACCAUAUUUACUCCACCCUCUGUUGCUUUUGUGAAGAUAUUAAUUGCACUAUUAGUCUCGAAAAAUCUUUGUUUCAAACAUUAAGGUAAACUUUUGGUCCUUGUUACAGCUUCAAUGUACAACCCGUACACAAAUUAUGCAUUGUUCCGAAAUCCAAAAGCUCAAAAUGAUGGGAAAUUUGUGCAACUGUCGGACUUUUUGGCCAUUGCUAGCAAUGCAACUUCUGUUUCUGGAGUCUUGAUUGGAAUAGAGGUGAGUUUUUCUGUGCAUCAGUAUAACAUAAAUUCUAGUUUGAACAAUUGAACAAAGAAGAUGUAAGAUUGUUCCUUUAACUACUAGUAUUUUUUUAAAAUCUGGGAUCUGUUGCAUGAUUGGAGGAAAAGCAGUCGAAAUCUUUGGGUAGCCAUAAGCAGUUUGAGAUGUAUGAAGUUUGAUGCUGUGAUUUUCAGUAUUCUGAACCAACAUUUUAUUGGGGAAAUAAUUUUUUGCUUCUUUCGGUGGUGCAGUUUUGUUUGAUGUAAUUUCUCUCUCAGUAUGUACAAAAGGUUGAUAUUGACGAUACUUUUGAAUUUUGACUUCUGAUCAAUUGUUGUUAAUUUGAGGAGCCAAGGUCUGUAUGAUCUCGGUAAGCCAACUCUUAGUAUCAAAAAGGUUUAUCCUGUUGAACUAUUGGCUGAUCAUAUUAUUUCUGAAGCACACAUGUUAUGAAGGGAAGAUCUACUUGGUGUGUUGUGCUUUAAUGAACUAUAGGCUUAUUAUGUCCUGUGCCUGGACCAUGAGAAUGAACAACAUUAAAAAUUUGUGUAGAAUAAGCUAGCUAUAGUUUCUUGACCGAUAAAAGUUACUUUUAAAUUGGUCUAGUUUACUUGUGGGUAUUGAAAUGGCAAGGAUGGUCAGUUGUUAACUUUGGUUGACUUUUCAAAGAAUAUGUUGUCUGUGCUUUUGGAUUUAUCUAUCAAGGGAAUUACAUAACUAGAAAUAUCAACCAGUUUAGCUUUAUGAUUGACUUGCUAUGGGGAAUCAACAGUCUGAGAAAAUGCUUAAAUUAGUUUUUGAACUCAAAAUAUGCUGCUCACUUAUUUUUUAGGGCAUGAACUCCAAAUGUUUUAGUCAUGUGCACUUUUACCAUUUUUAUGUUUUUUAAGACAUAUAAUUUUUCGCUUUGUGGUUCUUGUCCUACAGCAUGCUGCAUACCUCGCUCAAAAUCAGGGGCUUGAUGUAGUUGAUGCAGUUCUUACUACUUUGAAUAAAUCUAGUUACAACAAGAAAGUAUUGAUUGAAUCUGAAGACAGCUCUGUUCUCGUCAAUAUUGGAAAGAAGAGCAAGUAUGAAUUGGUCUACAGGAUUAACGAAACUAUCAGUGACAUAACUAAUUCAACAAUCUUGGAGAUAAAGAAGUUUGCUAGCUCUGUGCUCGUAACCAAAGGAAGCGUAUAUCCUAGUGAAGAGGCAUUCCUCACUGGUUUAACAUAUGUAGUGCCAAAGGUCCAGGCCCUAGGCCUCCGAGUCUAUGUGCAACUGUUCAGCAACGAGUUUGUGUCUCAGGCGUGGGACUUUUUCUCAGACCCUUAUGUGGAGAUCAACACGUACGUCUCCAACAUGACCAUUGAUGGCUUAGCUACAGACUACCCAGCAACAGCAGCCCGAUACAGGAGUAAGAACCUUAUCAAUUCCAGUAACAUAUUAUGGUUUCUUCUGCUUCGAUAUCCACAUUGUAUCUGAUAAUUCUGGGGAAUAGAUAAUGUCAAACCACUAUAGUUUUGUUUAUAUUAAACUAAUUCAUGCUUUUCUCUCUUCCAUCCAAAGUUUUUAGUUUUCAUGGAACUGAUUUAUGGAUCUUGCAUUAUGCUUUUUUACUAGUGUACUAAUGGUGCUUGAUGUCUUGUGACUGUCCCAGAGAACCGGUGUCUAGGAUACAAACAGGCACCUUCUUACAUGCUCCCAGUUCAACCUGGCACACUCUUUUCGGUUAUGGAUCGGCUCCUUCUACCACCACCUCAGGCUCCUAAGCCGGUCCUGAAAGAGAAUGAUGUGACUGAGCCACCUCUGCCCCAUGUUGUGGUAAGACCUCCUGCAGGCACCAAUAACAGGACCACAGCACAAGGUCCAACCACAGCACAAGGUCCAACCAUGGUUGCAAACACAUUCCUCAGCAGUCUUGCCAUUCUUCUCGUGACUUUUGCCGUGCUAAUAUCAUAAUAAUACAUUCUUCCGCUUUCACCUUAUUGCUGAGAUGAUUCACAUUCUCCUAGAGCCGCCUAGGAGUGUAGAGCUAGUUCAGAAUUUUCCGCUAAAAACUUGUAUGAUUAAUUCCUUGCUCUAUUCUUUUGAUUGAUGUCCAUGCUUUUACUGUAGGUGUUGUCGCUCUUGGAAAUGUUCUCUUUUCUUUUUUCUUAUACUUAUGGGAAGGUUGGAAAUGUUCUUUUUUCAUUUUUCUUAUCCUUAUGGGGAGGUCGAGCAAUGGUGUACUUUUGAGAGAAUUAUAAGUAUUUGUAAUAUAGUCCCUAGUACAUAAAAUAUUCUUUUUUACUGGACAUCCUGCGGAUCUCAUUGUUGCGUUGAUGUUUCCUGCCGUACGAUAGGAAUGUUAACUCGUAGAAUCCAUUAAAAUGGAAAAUAGGGUUUAGUGUUUACCUGACAAAAAAGAAGCCCGUACGUUGUUCAGACUAGGAGACAGACCAGGGGUCGAAAACGUAACCGUUUAGGCAGGUUUUAUUCAAUUCUAUAGGAUAUAGGAUGUAAUCUCAUUUAUUUAGGAUGUACUUUACUUUUAACUAGGGAUGGCAACGAGGUGGGGUUGGGGCGGGGGACCCCUCCCCCAUCCCCCGCCCCGCUGCCUACAAACUCUCCCCGCCCCCGCCCCGCUUCCCCCGCAGGGUUAAUAAAAAUUUGUUAUGUAAUUUUAUUAUGGUUAAAUUUUAACAAAUAAUUAAGUACUAAAAUAUCAACACAUCAUCAAAUUAUUAUUCAUUGUAAUUUUACAAUUGAAACUUAUAAAAGCAAUCAAAUAAAAAUUAUUUGAAUACAAUCCAACGUGAUGAAAUAAAUAUAACUAAAAUAGUCAAGUUUUCACUUUUGGCACAAAUAUAAUCACUAAUUCAUUAUUGUGUUUGUGCUUUUUUUAAGAAAAAAUGUUAUUGUAUUAAGUGUAAUUAGGGAUUUAGUAUAAAUGUAUUAGUAAAUUUAAUAUAACCAAUUAAUAAUUUGUAUUAGUACACAUAUAUAAUUAUUAGUAUAAUUAAUAAUAUCAAUUAUAUUAUAUAUACUAAUAGACAUCAUAUAAUACAUAUAACUAAUAAUAUCAUUUUCAUAAGUUUAUAACUAAUUAAAUUAUAUAUAUUAUAUAUAUAAUUAUAUACAUAUAUAUAUUAUAUUUAUUUUUUUAAAGCGGGUGGCCCCAUCCCCCGCCCUAACCCCCUCCCUACUUUUAACACAUUGUAAAUAUAGACUAAAAUUUUGUGAAUUCCACACGUUACAUUGUAAAUAUAGAAUAAAAUUUUGUGAGUCUCAUACAUGGUGUUAAAAUUGAUGUACAAAAUGUAAUUUGAGGCUAGCAUAUUAUUUUUUUGGUCAAAUCAUGGCCGUGAACCUUUCUAGACAAUUGGAGGCCCCCAUCUUCGAGAUUUAAGAGACCGCUUGUGUAUUUGAGGUACAAAAUAGGUAGAUCUAGUUAAAUAAAAAUUAGCACUUCUGACUAAAUAAACAAGUGUACAGAAGUACAUCAUAAAAAGGUUUAUUCUAAUAGGGGCCCAAGAUUUAUUCUAAUAAGGGUCCUCCCAAUAAAGAUGAAAGAUUUACCAAACUACUUGACAUUUGAAUCGAACUUGAUUUGGUAACCAGCUCAUUUAAGUUUUGUUCACCAAUUAGUUAAGCUAAAUUUGAGCAACGUUUUAUAUUUGAUAACAUUCAAAUUAGAUAAAAAAUUCGUUCAAACUCGAUUCGACAAAUAAAAAAAAUUAAAUUUGGAUAACAUUUCAAAUUUGUUAAAAUAAUGAGAUUCAUUAAGAAAGCCUGUAUGCACAAGGGAUACCAAUUACAAUGUAAGAACCUUUACAUUAAAUGCUAAGCUGGAUAUUUAUAUGUGGUUAGGAAGUGGUGAUGUAAAUUAGUCUAAUCAAGUCGAACACUCUAAUGUUUAAACUUAUUUGGGGUCCGUUGGAUUCCUUAUUUUUGCUUCUGUUUUUGAAAAAUUGUUUUUCACAUUUCAAAUGCUAUAGUAAAUGUGUAUUUUAAAAACAAUUCCAAAAACACCAUAUCCAAACAUUAUAUCAAAAACAACUUCAAAUAUACAUAUUUAAUAUGUAUAUUUCAAUUAUGUAUAUUAUAUGUAUAUAUAUAUAUAUAUAUUAUAUUAAUAUAUAUUGAAAUAUACAAAUUGAAAAUUAUAUAUUUAUAUAUUAUAUAUUAUAUACAUUAAUAUUAUACAUAAUGUUGUACAUUAUACAUAAUAUAAUAUAAUAUACAUAAUAUGUAAUAUUGUAUACAUAAAUGUAAAAAUAUUUAUACAUAAUAUAAUAUGUACAUUAUAUUAUAAUAUAUACAUUAUUAAUGUACUUUCAUUAUUAUGUACAUUAUUGUGUAUAAUAAUGUUAUGUAUAAUAUAUAAUAUACAUAAUAUUAAUUUUGUAUAAAUGUAUAUUAUGUAUAAUAUAUUAUAUUAUGUACAUUAUACUAUAUAUAUAAUAUUAUGUAUAUUAUACAAAUUGAAAAUUUUAUAUUAUAUAUUUAUAUAUUAUAUAUUAUAUAAAUAUUUAUAUAAUGAAAUAUACAAUAAAUAUUACAAAUUGAAAUAUUAUAUAAGCACCAUAUUUAUAAUAUUAUAAUAUUUAUAAUUAAUAUUAAUGUAUAUUAUAUAUAUUAAAUAUUUCUAUAUUAUAUAUUUAUAUAUUUAUAUUAGAAAUAACUUAUUUUAUUUAAAAAAUAUUUUUAUAUAUUUAAAAAAUAUUUAUAUAAAUAUUAUAUAUUAUAUAAAUUAUAUAUUAUAUAAUAAAUUAUAUAUUAUAUAUAUUAUACAUUUAUAUAAAUGUACAUUUAUACAUAAUAUAUAUAUUUAUGUAUAUUUAUAAUAUACAUUUAUAUUAUGUAUUAUAUAUAAUAUAAUACAUUUAUAUAUUUAUAUUAAUAUACAUAAUAUUAAUUUUACAUUUAUACAUAAUUUUAAUACAUUUAUACAUUUAUACAUAAUAUUAAUAUAUAUUUAUAAUAUAUUAAUUUAUACAUUUAUAUAAUAUUCAUUUAUAAUAAUAUACACUUAUACAUUUAUAAAUAUAUUUAUAUUAUGUAUUAUAUAUAAUAUAAUACAUUUAUAUAUUUUUAUAUAAAUAUAUUUAUAUAUAAAUAUUUAUAAAUGUAUUAUAAAUGCAUAAAUGUAUAUAAAUAUAUAAAUAUAUAAAUUAUAAAUUAUAAAAAUACUCAAAAAUAUGUUUUAAAAAUACCUCUAAAAAUAAUCCAAAAAAUAUCUACAGUAAAAGUUUUUCAUAUAGUUUUUGAAAAACAACUCAAAAAAUAACUAAUCCAAACAGAUUUAUAUUUCAAAAGCGAAAUGCUACAGUGUUGUUUUUGAAAAACAACCCCAAAAACAGCUAAUCCAAAACGGACCCUUGUUCUUAUAAGAAUUUCCCUCAGUUGUGUUAAAAGUUAACAUGUAUUGCUUUUGUUAUUGAAUGUCUCCUUACAAGACAAACCCUUUACGAAAUUAUAGAGGCGCAACGAGGUCGUGCGAGAAAAGGAAAUGUUAGAGCCAAAAGACGGAACAUGUAAAAGCAAGGGAUAAUUGUAAAAACCUCCCCUAAGGUUCCUGACAGUUGCAUUCACCUCCUUUGAGGUUUUGAAAAUAGCUCUAACCUCCCCUAACAUGAAUUUGGAGUAUAUAACUGAUGUAAGAUAGGGUGGAUUUACCUAUACACCCUUAGAUUUUAAGGUUGUUAGUAAACAAAUUUAGGGCAAAAAAAAAAAGCAAUAAACAAGUUCAGAAUAAGUAAUUAAAUAAGAUUCACAGUUAUUUCUUGCCUGAUUAGACACUGUAAGUGUACUUAUAAAAUGACGCCAAUUGAUGCUCCAAUAUAAUGUUAUUUUAUGAUUGAUAGCACUUGAGAGGACAAUCUAAAUUGUAUAUUAUCUGCAUAGAAGAGAAGCAGAAGCAAGAAAAAUGUAGGGGAAAGAAACCUCCAGACAAGGCUCCAUAAGAGAAUAAGUUCUGGUGAUUUUGGUUAACCUCACUUUAUCUUAAACAUUCAUGAAGUAGAAGGAGAAAGAAAGCAAAAAUCAAGGCAAAAUCUAAGGAUUUUUUUUGUUAAAAAUUUGCGGCAAUCAAAAGAUAAUAAAUAAGCAAUCCUUUAUUAUCUUAAUUUAAUACAAAAAAUUUCUUUAGUAAAGGAUAGUUUUUGAAAUUGGAUGUACACUUUAUAUGUUUUACAAUAUUAGAUUUCUGAAUGUAUGUUCAUUGCUUCUUCUAAUUGUUGCUACCGCACUAGUUUUCCUUGCCCUUAUAUUCUCUUUAGUUUCACUAACUGUUUCCACCUUUUAAUAUUUUUCAUUCUUUUACUAAUACAACCUCACAAGAGACAAAAAGAGUAUAAAUGGAACAAAAUUAUUAUCUUACUUCUCAAAAGAUUUUUUUAAUGGCAUUUUUUCUGACAUGGGUGAAUCUGCUAUCAAAACCUUAAGUUUAGGGGAGGUUAGUCCUAUUUUCAAAACCUCCGGGGAUGUGAAUGCAACUAUUAGAAAUCUCAAGGGAGGUUUCUGCAAUUAUCCCUAAAAACAAAUAAGAAAUAAGUUUGCACUCCAUUGCCAUAGGAGAAUUGGUGGGGUGAUUAAGGAUUGUAAAGAAGACUUCAAAAGGGAAUCCUAGACAAAAUAAAGAAUUGGAGGGAGAAUGACAAAACUCAGAAUGCUUACCAAAUUAUUCGUAAAAGCCUGGUGAACAGAAUGCUGAAUAGUGUAAUCAAUCUUAUUAAUCAGGUGGAGGAAGACAACUCACACAGAGAAGAGGGAAGACGGUUACGACCAUUGAUCUCUCAAUCCUUGCUGUACGAGUGAUCUUAUUAAUUUUGAUCCAGUAAAUUCAUAAUCAGGGCAACAUUGUUAUUAUUUUCAGCGAGUCAGGUAAUAGAAAAUCCUAGCAAACUGCAAGCUACAUUGAAGAGACUACACGCAGCCGAGUCUUGUAGUGAAUUCUACUAGAGUCAUUUCAAGUUGAACCGUUCGAAACACCACCACCAUAAUUUCUGAAUAGCCAGUGAUCCAAUGACAAGUAGCAUUACUCCCAGCAGCGGUGAAGGCCGUGAAUAACUGGAGCAUAUUGAUAUGGGCAGUCUACUCCUUUCCAUGUUUCUGUCUCAAACGCUGUCUGACAAACUCAUUCCGAGCUUUAAUCCGAGCUUGCUGAGGGCCAAUGUUGGAGUGCCACAGAUGCAACCCGUAGCCAAAUAGACAAGCACCACCAAGGAAGCAUGCCACCGUUGAUACCAACUUCUUAGGUGUGGAAGGGUAGCACAACACCAUUUGAUUGAUUGCUACUACAAAGCCUUAUUUGCAUCACUGACAAUUCAAAAAAUCGUCCAUAAAUUACAUCCCACUCAUGCAUGUCAAUUGGAAAUUAAAUGCAGGAACGAAUUCCAAUUUAUUUACCAAAGAAGCAUUGCUCCAUUAUAGAGUUACGUUCAACUUAAUGAUGAACCAUAUGGAGCCAAAAGGGAAUGGACUAAUUUGCUGCCUGUCGAUACCAAUUCAGACAGACAGAUUACAAUCUAGCGAUAACUUCGGUUCUAAACCCCAUAAACAUACUCACUUAGGAAUUCCAUCGAACAUCUGGUGCGCGGACAGAAAAGCUACAAAAACAACGACCGCGGACCCUUAAAUACUGAAGGUUCAAAGUUUCCGAGUAAAAUGGAAAACUUACGACGAUGAAGACGAAUAAAAUAAUCUAAGCGUCUGCUUUCAUCUCCCCGCGCUUGCGCUCAUAGCCUCCGCGACUGGACUAGUCUGAGGCUCCGUGCACGUGUUGAACUUGUUUACCUUAUUAAUGCUUUUACCCAUUCCCCAUCCGCCUACAGGUACGGCAGGAUAAGCAUGCAAGAAAUGGAUCCACAAUAAAAUUUUAAUAUUGUCACGUGCCGUAUACUACUAGUACUUAACAAACUUCCAAAACUCUAAGCAGGCGCCAAAAAGAAAAAAAUAAAAUAAAAUCUAUGUUUUAUCUUUUUUGUUAUUAUUGUUUGUUAAAUACUUCCUUUGUUCCAUAUUUUUUGGAGAAUGUGUAAUUUAUGUAUGUAAAAUGAUGUUAGCAGGAGAGAGAACUUCUUUUCUAUCCUUAGUAGCGGAUUAUCUUUUAUUUGAUGUAUUGAUCAUUGUUGAGAAUAAAUGAUCGGCCGCAUGAAGGAUAAAGAUAAAAUUUCAUUAAAUUAAAAGAAAAGUAGAUUGACGAUUAAUUUGGGACAAGAAAAAGUUACAAAAUAAUUUAUUUUAUUUAUGAGAUGGAAGAAGUAAUUUAAUAAGUUAAUAAACCUCUUUUUUUUUUUUUUCCCUUGAAAAAACCAAAUGUCCGUCCAUUUUCGCAUUUCUGGUUUACUCUUAAACCUUGGAAGGGAAGGAUCCCCAGCUCUUUCGAUACAAUUUGUAUUCUUGACACUUUCACCAUCAUUUGUCAUUUGCUAAUUUCAUCAACAAAUUUGUUUCUUCUAAUCAAAGGCAACUUCAGUUACUUUACAAUGAUAAUUUCAUCAACAAAUUUGUUUCUUCUAAUCAAAAGGCAACUUCAGUCACUUUUACAAAAUUUGCUUCAGUAAAACUUGAGCUUUCGUAAUUCUCCAGAAUUGCCAAUGGAUGCUGUGGCUUCAAGUUCUGAGAUUUCCUUUACGACUUGAGCUUUGUCCGCCUCAAAGGCUUCAUCCUCUGCAAAGGUUAAAAAGAAGACAAUUAGCAGCAAGGCCAUAGUUCUCCAACCUCUGCUCUGCCGCCUAUACUGUGACGUGUGGGGGCUUUAAAAGUAGCCAUACCUCUAUCAAUCUUGAAGCCAGCGAAGAAACGUAGAAUCUUGCUUCUGUUGGCUACCAGAAUGUUAACUAUGUCAGGAGGCUUAUUUUGGUUGGCCACGAAAAGCUACAGGCAGAGAACACAAACCCGUUAAAUUAAGAGAGCACAAGCAAGCACAUUCAAAACACAAGAUAUUCACACCUUGAACACAUGAAAUGCAUCGAGCGGAAUGUUUUUGCUUGACUCCUGCAAAACGGGAAAUCUAGCAACUUUAGAUAACGAGAAUUUCAGAAUAAUUAUUAUAUGUAAAUGUUAUUACUAUUUAAAUUUCUACCCCUCAAACCCAAAAAAAAAAAAAUUAUAUGUAUAUGUAGCAUGUAAGAUGCAACGAUGGACUAUCGAGCCUAAAUCAAUUCAUCUGCAGCCUAUCUUUUAGAGUAGGGCUUCAGUGCAAGAAUUACGCGUAGAAUUCUGUGAGAAAUUUGUGUACGUUUGUGGAUUUUCAUCAAAAGGCAGAUUACAUACCCUCAGAAGAUUCAUUAAAAUCCUCAGAUUAUCCCUUGAGCUGACAUAGCGUACCAUCACAGCAGCAUUUGAACGAUCGAGCAAAAUAUCUCCCAAAAGCUAGGGGGAGAAGAAAAACAAACUUCAGGUUCCAGCCACAAGCAUUUCCAUCAAACACAGCAAACAAAUUUAAAUACAGCCCCGUUUGCUCAAGAACCAACUUAGGCUAGUAAAGAGAUCUCCACAUUCAAAACUCCAAAUAUGAUGGGCCAAGGAAUAAAGUGAGACUUCUUCAAUUAACCAUGGAAACAAGAUGAAAACAAGAUAUCAGAACACUCACAGAGACAGGAUAUGGAUUAUAUUUUCCAUGAUCAAACCGAAUAUCAAGUUAUGCAAUUAGAUGUGGCACAUCUAGUCACAAUUAUGACAGCCAUAUAAAAUCUUCUAAGGAUAAAUGAUGUCAAAACUCAAAACACCAAUAGUAUAUUGUAAUUGCUUGGCGAAUGAAUACCUUGACAGCUUGUCUUCUAGUGAUAUAAUUUGGAGAUUCCAAUAACUUCGAGUUGAAUUCAGCAAAAAACUGAAGAUCAAAUAUGAAGAUAGCAAAGGUUAAACUACUAUAAAGUUAGAGAACAAAGAAAAUGGUGAAACUACAGAAUUCACAAAAGAAACCUUGACACUUGAAACAUUAAGUGCGGCACUAAAUGAGACUCUUGCACCAAUGGAAGCAAGAACUUACCCAAUUAUAAUUUUCAGCAAGAAAUUCUGCAACUGUGGACUUAUGUCUCGUCAGAAGCUCCUGCAAGAUUUUGCCAGAAUAACCAAAACUUAUUAACGUGUUUCUUAAGAAUCCAAAAAGGGGAUAAGAUCUAUCAAAAAAAGGUGGGGGGAGGGGCUGCUUUUCCAAUGCCAUGCACAAAUAAUUUGAUUUAAUUAGUAUGGUAAUCCAUUAAAAGAGAACCAAAUGAAAUUUUAGUUAAAAAAAAAGUAGUUCUGGAACAUAAAAUUAUGUCAUUUGACCCUGGCAAGAAUAUAAAGCUGCUUUCCUAUCCUUCCACAUCUUGUAAGCUUAACUGCCAUUUUCCCAGGGCCAGAAAAUCCUUUUAAGUCCUGAUAGCAAUUUCAACAUUUUUAUAGCAAGCUUAUACCAGAACUCUAUAUGGCCCAAAAUUGCUGAAUGUCAUAGUAAGUGUACAACUCAAUGACUCAAAACUGCUUUUGACAGUGAUGCAAAAGAAGCCAAAUGCAUCUUUGUGACGAUAAGUGAGCUUAAUAAAAUCUCAAGGUUAACAAUGGAUGCCCUAUGACGAUGAGGUGGGAGCCAGAAAACAACAAAUAUAACCUUGAAUGUAGCUGUGGCAUCAGCAGCAACAUCAAAACUUGGGAGUUGCAUGUAGUCAAAAAACUUUUUCACGUGCACUGAUUUCAGAACAUACCUGACCGAAAAAUCAUAAAACCAUAGCAAACAACAUUGAAUAAGUAAACACAUAAAACUAAAUUGAGAAUUUCAACAUCCAAUAGCUUGCAAACUGCUUACCUUGCAACUGUCUGAUGGCGAAUACACUCUCUCAACAUUCCUCCAUAGUGCAAAGCCAUUGCUGGAUCUUCAUAGCUAUAACAAAAGGGGGCAGGGGGUUUGGGUGGCGAAGCUAAGGCCAUGUCAAUGAACUGAAACUAUUGAGGUAUAGAUUACUUAGGCUCUCAGAAUAUUUCCAGAAUUCUUCCUACAAAACCUAGGUAGGAUGAGGAAUGUUAAAAAAAAAAAAAAGUUUCAAAAUAUUCCCUUUUCUGAGUUGGUUGUACUUCUGGACAAGCUAUUGCAUUUUCUCAAGUAAAACAUGCAAUUUGGCAGAUUAUCUACUUAAGUUGGACCCAAUCACCUAAUUGAGCAUAGGCUAAUUCUAGUUGGAAUUACAGACGACCACAGCAUGAAAAUAUAGAAUUAUCAUGAACAAAUGAUAAAAAAAUUGACAAGCUUAUUUGCAAUGUGGUUUUUCGACCAGUAUUCAGGCAAUCUGUGCUAAAGAUAGGACAUGAUCUUCUAGCACAUAUUAUUAUAAAACUUCAGUUUCUCAAAAGCCUCCUGCUUGCUAAAGGUAUUCUAAAUGAUCCAUAGAGAAGAAUGCUUCAUGGCACAGAAAGAUGGGUCGGGAGGCCAGCAAUGUAAGCUUCCAGGUAGAAGAUUUUUUCCUAAUUUCUUUGGUGUGACUUUUUCGGCAGGUAAUCAUCUAUCCUGACCUCCCAAAGAAAAAUUUGACCAGAAAGAACUGUAAGAUCUUUUUAUAGAUUCCAACAUGCUACAAAAAAGACUUUAGACCAAAGGAAACUUAUAAUAGGAGAUAACAUAUGCAAGAUGGUGAUAAUAUGCAAACAUACUGCCAAUGAUGACUCACCCUGAUAUUAAUAAGUCCAACAGAUCCAGGUUGAAUUCCAAGUAAUCAGAAGCAAUCAAGCGCGAAUUAACUGGCUGCCUUUGCAAAUUUGCAACAACUUGGGUGGCAUCCUUACGUGCCUAUAGAGCAAUGGUUAUUCAAAAAUAAGCAACAGCAAUAGAAAAAAAAAAAAGCCUCCGAUAAUCAUAGUUUCUAGAUCAGAAUGCAUAAAUGUGAAACAAGACUAAAACAAUUUACAAAGAGGAAUUGGUGUUCGUUCCGAUUACAGGUAAGCUUACAACAUUAAAUAAUAAGCUCACCUCCAAGUUGAGUUUUGGAAGACAAACAAUGAGGAGCCGAAGGGUGUUUUCCUUGAAGAACUGCUGAGUCAGUUGUGCGCAGGCUUCAGCAACAGGCUCAGAUUCACCAUUUCCGUACAGAAUUAGCUUCAUCUCCCUUAUGAGCACAUCUAAUUCUGACAUCUGCAACUCAAAAAUUGGGCACGCAAUUCGGAAUCAAUAGUCAGUACUUGACACAUCAAAACAACAAACAGAGGGAAUUAUGCACUGCAAAAUUUUUGCCAAGUUUAAACUGUUACAAAAUGACGUCAAGUUGAGCUGUGUCACUGAAUUUUAAUGCUGAGAACAUAAUGAAUUUAAUGCACAAGUAACAGCUCUCAAAUGCAAUGUCCUCCUCUCAUAAUUGUGAGCAAAAAGAGAAAUAGGUAACCCCCCCCUCCCCGGGGCCCCCCACAGGAAAAGAGUGCCAGAUACAGCACCUUGAGAUUGCAGUACACCAUAUUAAAAUCUCUACAUUUAAACUUUGUUAAUCUUCAAUGUAAUCCUUUGAUGAUUCAGGAAAAACAAAUUAAAAUCUCUACAUUUCAAGAACAAAAUAAAGCAAAUUCCUAGCCAGAAUUAAAUUUUUGCCAAAAAAAAAAGAAGAAGAAGUAGAAAAGGUGAAAAACACAUAAUGUACCUUCGAAAAGCAUCAAUAGCGAAUAUCACACAGCUAACCUUAUAAUCGCCAAACUCAGAAGAGAACGAAAACAGCCCAAAAACCGAUGAUCAAAUUUGUUGUUUCAAAAAACAAUCUUUAAAUCAGAAGAACCCAAACGAGGAUAAAAAGAAAGAAAGAAGAAGUUUUGAGUAAAACCCGUAAUAAGAAUAGCAGUACCUUAUCGGAAUGCUUUUGGCCAGAAAGAUGGGAAGCAGAAUGGAGAUAGGAGAGCAACGAGGUGGCAUGACGGACAAUGUCAAUAGGGGUCUUAGGCCGAGAUUUUUUGGAUUUAAAAAGGGAAGCAGUACGCAUAGCCUUUGUAAAAAGCCUCUUGAGAUUCAUAGUGGGAGAGCGUUUCAGGGCCUUGCGGUGAUCGGAUGGCUUUUGCUGAUGAUUCAUGAGGCCCCCCACCCCCACCAUCUCUCUCCUUCCCUGUUCAACCUGGGUCGGCAUUAUUAUUUAUUAGGAUUUGGGAAAAUUUCUUCAAGGGUGGUGGUUGAUGUUGUUGUUACUGGUGGAAAUGCAGGGGAAAGAGGAGGGAAAGGAGAGAGGGGAUGAUGAGGUUGAGGAGGGGGAAAUGGGCAAAUGCCAUUUACGGAUUUUCUUUGGUGAGGGCUUCGAUGUUUUUAUUAUGGUAGUAUUUGGGAAAUCAGGGGUGGGUGUUGAAUUAUUUACGGAAAGUAUAAUGAGAGGAGCAACUUUUUCGAUUUCCAUUUUGAUCACAGGAAUAUACAGGAUCCGGAGCCGGACUUGGAUUUUCUGCUUCAUCAGCAUCAGGUGUUGUUUGUUCUCUCUUUCUGUCUGGAACCUCCUCACCCUUCUCUCUCUCUCUCUCCCACCUAUUUUUGCGGAUUUAAAAGAUACUCCAAAUAGAAUAGUACUACUAGUUCCUAAUCUACAUGACCCGACCCUAGAAGGAAAAACAGAAAAAUGUAAAAGAUGGAUCCAAGUUAGGGCUGCAAAUGAAUCGGGUCAAUCACGAGCAGGUUGAAUUCGAACUCGACUCAAGUUCAAUCAACAUUAUUAAGUUCAAGUUAACUAAGUCGAAUUCGAAUUUAAAAAUACUAAAGUCGUUAGCUCGCGAGUCGACUCGAACUCGAUUAUAUAUAUAUAUACUAGGGAGGGAUAGCCCGCGCGACGCGCGGGAAUUUGGUGCUUGUGAUUCAAGAUAAUUAAUAAUUAUUGUUUAAUAUUUUGUAGUAUAGGAACUUAAGUAUGAUGAUUUUUUCAUGUGAUUUUAAUAGAAAAAUCAUAAGUUAUAUAGUGAGUCAAUAAAAAUAAUGUGCAAUGAGACAUCUUUAUCGUUAUACUAUAUAAGAAUCCGUUGUGAUCAAAGAUUAUGUUUAAAUUUCAACUGUAAAGAUAAGGGUAGUUUGAAAAUGUAAGAAUGUCUAAGUGCAAUUGAAAAGUAUCCAAAGGUCUAUUCUAAAACUUAUCCAAGAUGAUAAAACAUUUUAAAAUAUCAAUUGGACCAUUCAUCUCUCGAAUCUAUAUAUGUUCAUGAAAGAUCCCUCAAACAAUGUUUCUGAUUUCUCCCUUGACUUAAGCUCAACCUGAAUUAUCAAGUCAAGUUUAUCCAUCAAUCACUUUGCAUCCAAUCUAGUCUAAAAUAAUUUUAUCUUUGACUAACUAUUUAUAUAAUUUGGUGGGCAUAUAAUACGACUUAAUCACAUGUUUCUUACAGAGAUAAUGAUGCCCAAAAAUGAUAGAUAAAUAAGAAACUUAAGUGGUUUUUUUCAAAAUUUUGUAGAAACUAUUCAGAUUUGGUGUUUUUUGCUAGGGGCAUUUCUUUAUAAUCUCAUAAAUAAGUUCAAAUCUGCAUAAUUGUAAAAGAUCUGAAUUGAAACUAUCUUGAUUAUAAAAAAUUGGUGCAAAUAAUAUUUUCUAAAUUUGAAAUUGUAGAAAAUGGUAACUAAAAUCAGAAGAAAUUGCUCAUAUGAAUUCGAAUUGCAAACUAUAGGUAGAAACUGUUUAAUGAUAUUUUUCAAUGUUUACUUGUAUAAGUAUCCAAUAUAACAUUUCUACUUAAUUGACUCGUUUGAACUAUGGAUAAUAGUUGCUUCAAUCAAAUCAAGAAACAUUAUUUAUCAUUGUACAACAUACAAUUAUGAGUAAAUGAAUUAAUACAAUGCAAUCAAAAUGGUGCUGUAACUAAAGCAUUUAAACUCAUCAAGUUUCACUACAAAUUCUUUUAGAUAGCAUAAAAAAGCAAAUUUUUUGUAUUUGAAACUAUAUAAACAGUAUAAUACAAGAACGAGAUCAUAACAUGGAAAGCAAAUAGAGUGCAAAUGACAUCUUAGUACUAUGUAGCAUGAUUAAUUUUCUUUUUUAGUUUCAAUGAAGAACAAAAUUCUAAGUUAAUAAAUUUUACAAUCAUAAAAUUCUCAGUUAAAAUAAACACAAGUUGAAUUCCAAAUCAUAUUACAUGAAAAAAUAACUACAUGAAUUAUAACUGCUGGAAUGUAGUCAACAGAUCCAUGGAGUCAAGAACAAUAGGAGAAAGUUCAUGAGAAAUAACACGUUAUCUGACUUAAAUAAAGAGAUAAUACCUUGGUCGAGGAGGAGAAGAUGAUCAAAUUGUUUUUCUGAUUAUUUUAGAAAGUGACAACAUUAUCUCAAAUUGUACUUUGACCAGAGACAGAAUCUCUGGGAUCUACUAAGGAAAACAAUACAAUUAGUCAGUUUUUGGAAUUAGAAGUAUCAAAAACAAACUAUAUGGAAUUCUUGAAUAAACCAAUUAUCAGAAAAAAAAACUACAAUCGAAGAAGACAAACCCAAAGAACUCACAUCAAUUUAAAGGAAAAGCUACGCAUUCCACCAAAUAUUUAAUAGCCAUAAUAAAACCAAAGAGGUGAAACUGAAAAAGAAGAAAGGGUAUAUCUAAACAUGGGGACAUAAAUAUGAUAAUGAUUGUUCAGAUAAUAAUUAAGUUAAUUAAUUGUAAUUAAAAUCCAAUCAUGUAAACAUCCAAUUAAUUCUUUAACGGACGAGAAAGGUUUUAGGAAAUUGGAAGGUUUGGAUGUUAGUAUAAUAAAUGAUUAAAAGGACUUUUAUGUAAUUCUAUCAAAACACAAGCUUUAUUCAGUUGUACUUGAUACUCAAUUUGGCACCAAACAUUGUAACAUACCAAACCUGCUCCUAACCUUAAAUGUCUGAAAGGUUAUAUAAGUAAUUAUAGUGAAAUUAAAGCUAUAAUGACUUGUACUCAAUGUUCCAAUUACUCUUCAAACACUCUUAUAUUCCCAAAAUAGCCUCACCCGUGCGGUUGAAAUCUAGUUCUAAACUCGUUCUUAUAUAGUGUAAGUAUAUAUAUAUUAAUUUUAAUAAUAAAAUUACAUAUAUAUUUUUAAUAUUUUAUUAUUUAUUAAAAAAAUAAUUAUUUUAUUUUUUUUAAAAAAAUAAAAAUAAUUAUUUUUUUAUUUUUUAAAACUCGAGCUCAAGUUUAACAUUUUGAGGUCGUUGAGUUUAAGUUUGAAUUUCAUAAAAUUAUGUUGAAGGUCAACUCGAUUAGGUUGAAUCUCGACUCAACUCAAUUCGUUUGCAUCUCUAGUCCAAGUCCCGAAGUCCUUUUUUACUUUUUUUUUUUUUUUGACAGCAUCUCCAACCCAAAAAAAAGGGAUUAGGUUUGGUAAGAGUUGAGUUGAAUUGUAAUGCUGUCAUUGGGGCCAAUUCUUGGUAGUAUUAUUUUAGAGAAACCCAAUGCCAGUUGUUUUGUAGAGCAGCGGAGGAAAAGGGUGCUCUUAACUUCUAAUGCAACUUUACGUGAACGCAUUACAGCAGUGCAUGAAUGCUUUCAAUAUGCAUUUACGUUUGAUUAUUAUGCAAAAACUGAUGCUACAAACAUACCAGGCUCUCAACUAAGUAGCAAGUACAAGUAGAACAGAAGACGAUAUUGGCAGGUAUGUAGGUCUUACGAAUGCGUUAAAACAGCCUACCUGCUGCUAUAGGCUCUUUUGAUUCUGAUGAUAGAUACUACUAGGCAUGGCCACGGUUCCAGAACCAACGGUUCUGGUUCCAGAACCGCCGGUUCUGGUUCUUCAAAGAGGUAGAACCAGAACCGCACCAUAUAAGAUGGUUCUGGUUCUGGUUCCAGAACCGGCGGUUCUGGUUCUUCAAAAAGGUAGAACCAGAACCGCAUAGUUCUGAUUUCGAUUCCUUAUGGUUCCGGUUCUGGUUCUGGUUCCGGUUCCGGUUCCGUAUGGUUAUAUACAAUUUUAUUUAAUUUCUUAUCCUUACCAAUUUUAAUACGAAUAUAACAAUAUAUUUAAAAUUUUAAAUAAAAUGUAAAAAAAUAAAUACAAAAUAAAUAUCAUAUUUUAAUUUUAUUAUUAUUCUACAAAGUACGAAAUAAUAAAUAGAUAAUAGAUGAAGAAAUUGAGAGUAGUUUAGAGAUGGAAGAGAGAAGAUUGAUUUUGGUGUAGUAGAAAAUAAAAUUUCAAGUCUUAUUUAUAGGACAAAAUGAAAUUAAAAAUUUGGAACGUUGUAUUGUAACGUUCCAAAUUUGUAACGUUGUAUUGAAAAUUUGGACAAAAUUACAACGUUGAAUUGUAACGUUGUAAACUUGUAAUUCACCCUAACCCCCAAUUUGUCAAAUUUAGCAGGCAGCCACCUUUCUUGUUUUUUUUCUAUCCUUUGCUUUGUUUCUUUCUUCCGUUGAGAGCCUGAGGACCUUUGUGCAAGUCAGGAGGAGCCCCCGAGAGCAAAAAUUGAGAGCAAAAAUUGUGGUGGCAUCAUGAUGACCUUGGUCAUCAUGAUGCCUCUACUUUUAUUAUUUUUUAUAUUAAUUAUUUUUAAAUUUUUUAACGGUUCUGGAACCGGCGGUUCUGGUUCUGGUUCUAUUUUUUAGAGAACCAGAACCGGAACCUUUAUCCAAGGUUCUACUACGGUUCUGGUUCCACGGUUCUGGUUCCGGUUCUGGUCCGGUUCCAAACGGUUCGGUUCCGGUCCGGUUCCCGGUUCCAAGUGGAACCAUGGCCAUGCCUAGAUACUACUACUGAGUACUGACCCGCCUCUCUUCUUUCGUUGCUCACAAUAUACUACAAAGAAUCCCAUAAACAACUAUUGCAUCAUUAAUUUUUUUUUUUUUUUUUGGGGUGUCUAAAUAGUGCUCCAGGUUCUAGCCAUAUGUUUCCAGCCCAGUCCUCGCCUGCAAGCAAAUUCAACUCUGGCCUAGUCAGGUUGGUGCGCGCGACAGAGGAGGAUGACAAGAUUCGUAAUAGGGAUGCGUUCAACUCAUAAAUCCCUCGAAAGAAAAACAAACGCAUGAGAAACGAGGCAAUGGAAUUUUUGGUUCUUGACAUUUAGCAGACGCAGAAUUGUUAUUUUCACAAAAGUUACAUUUCAUUUUGAAUCAGACACUAUUGGCAGAGAGUCGGUCGUACUUGUACCAAUUUGUAUUAAAAAUAAAUGAUGUCCUACAGCUUAUCUUCAGAAUAAUCACUUCUUGGUAUAAGUGACGGAAAAUCCCCUUCGGCGGGCGGUUAUAUAUAUACUAUGUAGACCUAGUUAAGUUUAAUAGUAUACCGUCAGAGUUGUCGAGGAGUGAGCCACAAUGUCCGAACUCCCAGCCAUUGCUAGUUCUUGUCCCUGCAAGUUUGAAAGUAUAUACAUUACCAGAUCACUUAGAUUUCAGGGAAUUCUACCAUUGUCUUCUUCUCAGACGAUCAUUCCUCAUCUAGCACUGCAUGCUUCCUGCACAAACUGCUCAGGCUGCCAUAUGUUUUAACGACUACUUGAUUUGAUCCUAUUGCAGCUUUGCAGAUGUCUGUAGCGCAGAUAUCCGAAGCUCCAGGUUCAUGUUCCUGCCCAAUCAUUUCCUUCCUUCUUUCUGGGGUCAAAAAUGUCGCUCGCAUCCUUCAGCUAAUUAAUCAAGAGGAAUGUCGUCUCAAACCACAAAAAAUCUCAGCAUCCAAGACCUCUAAGAAUGCCACUGAGUUUAUAAAUUACCCCUGGAGGAUCUGCAUAUGACUCAUCCAGAUAAAUAGCAUGGUACUCCAAUCCUUUCCACUUGGCAAUUAGGGCAAAAUGGGGGCGCCUGUAUUCACUACUGACAAUCUCAAACACUACUGUCCUUGGCGUAGCAGAAACUAUGUGAGUUAGACCUGCCCCAUGAGCACCGGCUAUGACUGAAGCAUCUUGAAUGGCCCGAACUUGCUCUUUCAUGGACAUGUGAGCAAAUAGACCGUUUAUUAUAUUCAAUUUGCAAGCUGAAUGAUUUGAUGCCCAGCCCUCUAUAGAAUUAAAAACUUGUUCUUCAUUACUAAGCCUUGAUUGUACCUUACCACCAUGACGUGGAUGGGCUAAAUAAUCCUCACGUCUAACAAAGAGGACAUUAAGACCCGAAACAGGCCUUGAGUUAUGAUGUCUAUCAACUGGAAAACCAAAUGCUGCUCUUAUCAUCUCCCCGAACUCAGACAGACGAGCAGUCUUUUUAUCAUCUGGGUGUUGCCAUAGUUCACGUGCAGAAGCACCGUUGCAAUCUAUGUCUUCAGAGAGUCCCUUGAACCAUGCAGUUUCAUAUCCCAAAGGUGCAAGUAUCGCAUGGCGGAAACAGACAGGACCACGAAAGCUUUUGGCAUAUCUAAUGCUAGAAAACAAUGCAUUCCAGGUUUCUUCCAACUGUGCCUGAAAAGUUUUGUGAAAGGAAUUAUCUUAAAUGGAAAACUUUCAGUGAAUUAAUAGACCACUACAGUAACACUGGCAGAGGCAAUCAUAGCAACCUUGGCAUGCCAGUAUCUGGUCAUUACGUCCUCAAAUUGGUUUUAAACUUUUAACAUGUUUCAUCUUCUAUUGUUGGUGGCAUAAACUAACUUCUAGAGAUGUUUAUUUAUUUAGAGCAUUAUUGAAGCAUGUUCUCCUGCAUCUAUACAUGUCAAAAACAUCCACAAUGCCAAUAAAAUUGAACGCCCAAGCACAAAAAGAGAGAAAUGGAUGUAAUCAGUAUUAAUGCAGUGUAAUAUUGAAAUUAAGAACGUCUUCCGCAGGCAACAGCAAGAACAGCAGUUAUUGAGGGAACAAGAAGAAAGCAGAGGAACGCCAGCUUCUGGAAUGAAGAAAUUGGUCAAUUUUAGUAAUAAGAUUCUGCACAAGACUUUCCAAAAAAGAAUAAAAAUGGUAAUAUGGAACAAACAACAGAUAACAAGCAGCAAUAUAUUUGCAUGAAUAUUGGCUCAACAUGUCCAAAUGCAUUUCGGUGGAGUUCAUCUCCAAGAAAUGGCAGACACAUAUGAUCAAGUCCAGGCUAACUGCCAGAAAAAGAUAAAAAAAAGUCCAGGCUAACCAUUUAUUCAACUACUGAACUGCUAUGAAGAAGCACCAUAAUUUUAACACAUCCAGAAAUUUGAAAGCAGCAUGCUGAAAACUAAGUCUUUUCCACUACAACUCUUCAAGCCAGUUAUUCUAAGAGUCUGAUUUUGAAUAUGCUUGAUGUCAAGAAAUCUAUAGUUUAAAACUCCUGCAAUAAGUUCAAUGACUCCCCUGUACAUCUCAAGUGAUCCAAAAUUCACCUUCCCUGGCUCAUUUCAUGUUUAUCAAAUACUUAGUAGAGGACAAAAUUCUUGCAAUAACAAAUGCUACAAUGUCAUUUUUGCUAGAACUAUGUUAGCCUGAAUAUUCAUACCUUGCAAUGGCCAUCCACGAAAACUAUAUGAGGUCGAUUGGGCAAUCCAGUAACUCUAGAAGCCACAUAUGCACUGUACCAAUCUGUGAAGGUGUGAAAAACAUUUGCAUACUCGAAACGUGUAACCAAAACCGUAGGCUCCUCAACCCACUGAAAGAAAACGUAACAAAAUGGCUAAGAUUAAGAAAAAUGUGAUGGAUCGAUUGCAAAAGGCAAAAAAUGCAGAAAGCUCCAGCAAAAAUAAAACUCAUGCAGAUUUGAACAAUCUUACUUGCAAGCAUAUGAGUAUAGCAUUGAAACUUAAAUCAAGUAUCAAAGAGGAGAAAACGAUAUUGCCAGCAUUAUUCACAAGUUUGAUACUAUAACUGCUCGCUGCAAAUCUCAUUUAUCAUUUACAUCUCCGUCAUACAGCACCUCCCACAAACAUUCAUUGCAAGACUCAUUCUGAAAGUUCAAGAGGACUUCAAGCAUCUGCAAGAUGCUUCAUUUUUUGGUCCUGCCCCAGAUUAGAUCUCAUGUUAUCACAAAAAGACCCAGAUCUCAAUCCAGGUACACCGUGUUCCCAGAAUCAACUGAUGGAACUGACAGAUCAAUUGUUUAUUACACCACAUUAGACUCUGCAAGAAAAUUUGAUAAGGCAUCCAAAAAUGGGAGAAAUUUAUUCAUAUUGAUUGGAUUAGCUAGUUAUGAGUUCAUUUAUUAAAUCAGGGAUAUCGAUUCAUUAAUUAUGCAGAAUCUUUUUUGCAAAUUUGGUAAAAAAUCAUCUGUUCUUUCCUUUUUUAACAAAGAUCAAAACUUUAAUAGAUCAAACUGAGAACCCAAAUUAAAAAAAAAAAAAAAAUCUGAAGGCUAACCUCGGAACAAUUUAACUCAUUAGGCCCAACUAACUCAAUCGAAUCGACCAACUGACGCAUAGUAUGCCUAUGAAUGGCACCAUUUGGUAAGUAAUUAUUCAAAAAGUCUACAUUCACAAGUUUCUUCCCUAUUUUAGACCUUUCGAGCACUUCAAUCUGGAAAGCACCGGGUUUAAAUAACGGCAAUUCUUCCUCUUCCCCUCUUCCAAGCACCAUCUCCAACUCUUCCCCUCCUUUAGACAUUACAAUUUUUUCUCCAAUCAUCCGAAUUUGUCCUCCCUCGCAUAUAGAGCUAAGCAGCGUUUGACUAUAGUGACACCUAAACCAUCCGCCCCCGGCAGAGUUAUCAGAGACGGAUUUCCGGUGAGACUCCGGCGAGAGUUUGAGGGCAUCGACAAGCAGAGUGAAGCCAUUCCCGAAAUAACCCUCGCAAGAUCGGACCGGCACCUCACGAUUAUGGGACCAGGGGAGGUAGGAGGGGAGACUUGGCCAGGGUUUCGCAGUAGCAGUGAUGGACACAUGGGAGUUUGUAUGAUUCCGGGUAAAGUGAGGGUUGCUUCUGUUGGGGAAAUAGUCGGGGUGGGAGGAGAAGUAAAAGUAGAAGUAGAGAGUGACGGAGUUGAGGGCGAAGAGGAAAAGAACUAUUUUUACUCUUUUGGCCUUCAUUAUCAUCAUUGGACGACGGGAUUUUAGGCUUUGGAAUUUGUUUUUCAGCUGUUGCCGCCGUGGGGGUUCACCUGAGGAUUAAGUGACGAACCCCAUUGGCGAUUGUGCCGUGGCAGUUGGGACCCUGCUUGCUCUCUUUCCAACUCGGCAGUUCUUGCUCGCUUGCGUGUUUGGGAUUGGGAGGGGACUUAUUAUACCACCUAUUAGUCCUAGGAGCCACUUCCAGCCCUCGACCAGGCAUGGUAAGUUGGAAAAGCUCCAGCUUGUUCAUGCUUUUACUGGUUUAACUUUUGAGUAUUUGGAGAGCUACUAUUUGGUUAAAAAUUAUUUACUUACAUUAUAAAUAAUUUUUAAUACAUCUAUUUAUCUUUCCGAUCACCUUCUUAUUUCAUAUAUACAACAUUAUUAUAAAAAGUGCUUCAAUAUUUAUUUUAAAUAAUCUCCGAUCCAAACACUUGGAAUCUUUUUACUCUUAAUGGAUCAAGUAUUGGCAGAAUAAGGGUGGAAGAUAAUCAAAUUACUCAACAGUCGAGUCUAAGUUGAGCUUAGUAAAAAUUCGUUUGAAUUUGAUUCGUCAAUUAGUUAAAUUAAACUUGAAUAACACCUCAUGUUUCGUAACUUUGAAAAAAAAAAAUAAAAAAGUUCGAACUUGAUUCAACAAAUAAAUCAGUCAAACUUGAAUAAAAUUUCAAGUUCUUUAAAAUAAAUCAAAUAAACACGAAAGUUUAUAUUUGAGAAGCAUAAAUUCAUUACCACUCUUAAGAUUCCAUUAAUCUUCGAACUGAAGUUCGGUAAGCGUUGUGCCAAUACAGGGAUUUAGUGGAUUGUGAUUAGUACAACUAGGCAAAAUGCGGAAACUCAGGGUCCUAAAUACUCGAAACAAAAGUGAAGCAUUUAAGCAUUGUGCAAGCUUGGAACUUUUUCUUAUUUAUAUUUUUUGGAGAAAAAUAUAAAUGCGAAUACUGUGGAAGACGAGGCACUAUUCACCUAUGCCAUGGAAGAAUUGGUUGCCUCUAAUCAGAGGACAAGAAGAGGAUGGUAGGGUACAGCGUACCACCAGAUUAUAGAGCGGUUUUGUUGACCAAAUUUUGAUUCCUGGCGUCUGGAUUUCUUUAAGCCAGAUCACAGGGUCAAAAUCACGCAUACAAUACAACUACGUACACAAGUGGGAUCCAGACGUUCUGCCGGAAACUGUACAGCAUUUAACUUGAAUAUCUGCUCGAAAGGGCAUAUGGACUCUAUGGACAGCAUUAAUCAAACUAGAAAGUAAGUAGUACUCAGGAUACCUUUUACUUUUCUGCUAGGUAUUAGGCCACGAAUUUUUGUCAGGAAUUUCUGCCUCGCAGCCUAGUGACAGCUGCUCUAUUUAUUUUGCUAGGCAAGAACGAGUGCAUUAGCAGCGCACGGCCAUGCAUAUGGCAAUAUGGCAUUGGUUUGUUUGUUAAAAUCCCGCAUCCCAUUCUUUGAAAAAAAAAAGAAGAAGAAGAAUCAUUGAACCCACAAAAAGGGACUGUAAAGGUGUAAAAAUAUUUGCUAUCAUUUGCUUUGACAGAAUAUAGUGGAAGCAUGGUACAUUGCCAUUAGUAUAAAUGACAUCCAUCAUCUACAAAAAGUGUUGCAGCGGAUAAUAAUGAUACGCGUGGCAGUAGUGUGUUUAUGUUUCCUGACUUCCUCUCCUUCUGGCUUCAAAAACAAAAGAAUGCAGAAUGAAUAUGCAGUAAUUCAUCAAUAAUCCAGACCACGGAUUGAUGCAGAUCUCCAAUGCCUAGCACUCUCAAAACCAUUCGUACAAUUUUCAAAAUCUUCAAUGGUUUGAUCAAUCUCUUCUUGAGUGUUCAUUACAAAAGGCCCAAAUUGGACUACUGGUUCACCUAAUGGCUCGCCCCCAACUAAAACGAAUCUCAGGGGCUUUGAGGACUUGUUCCAUGCCUCAAGGCCAUCGCCAGAGCCUAGAAGAAGAAGAUUAUGAGCUGUUACUGGAGAAGACCUCGAGUGGCUGAAGGUGCCUUCCCCUUCCAGGACGUAUACAAAUGCAUUCCAGGACGCAGGCACUGGUUGCUGAAGAUGAGCUCCUGGCUUAAGGGUGAAGUCCAAGAACAUGGUUGGGGUCCUUGUGUAGACAGGAGAUGUAAUUCCCAUGGCCUCUCCUGCUAUAACUCUGACUUUGACCCCAUCUUUUGCUGCCUCUGCAAUGUCCUUGCUCAUCAUUUCUUGAUAUCUUGGCUCAACCCUUUUGGCAUGAGAAGAGAUAAUUAAUAUUUGAUGCAUUUUAAGUUCUUAAAGUCCAAUGUCAAAAAGUACGAAGAUUAUAGAUUACUUUCUAUAUAAGUGCAGCAGAAUCACUAGCUUUUACCAUAUCAGUGAUCUUCAUGUUUUAAUAUAAAGCACAUAAAUCACAUGGCAAUAACAUUAAUUAUAGGCGCACACACAUUGCUGAACAAUUAUGGCAAUGAAUCAUCAUGUUUGUGGGCAAUGAAUCAUCAUGUUUGUGAGCAAUGAAAGCGUUUACAUUCACAUUAUUCAUGAAGUUUCAUUAUAAUUCACUCAAAAACUUCUUCUUUACCCAGCAAAACUCAAAAACCUUCUUUCUGUUAAGGUUUAAAAGAUAUUUUUGUGCAUCUACAACUUCGCUGACCCUUUUUAAAAGCAAUAAAACUUACAUUUUAUUUCUAGAGCAGAGAUUAAUCCAUAAUUGUAAACCUCGUUGAGUUCCCUGAGCUGCUGGCAUCUCUGAAUGAACUAUUCCUCUUCCAGCAGUCAUCCACUGUAAAUCACCUUCUUUGAUGGUACCUUUAUGUCCUUUAAAAUCUUCAUGCGUCACAGCUCCCUGGUGUCAAAAUGCAAGAACUUUUUCAAUAUCGCGAACACCACCUAUUUUGAACAUACAUAACGGUUUGUUUUGCUUACUAAUGGGUAAAAAUGAGCACUGUAGGUGAGCAACAUACGUGCAUCAUGACUUAACCGGAAAAAAAAAAGUGUAUCAUGAAACAAAUAUAUUUCUGGCAGGCCGAAAGUUAGCUAGUUUGCCCGCAAAUUAGUGGUUGAAGAAACUGAAAGUCUUCAGUAUUUAGUAGUAAAAUUGUGAUUUUUGGUCUCAGUUACUGACAACAAGACUUGAAAUUCUAUUUGUCUUAGCCAGGCAGGCGGCAGGCCGCAGGUGCUUGAUGACAUAUUUGACAGUAGUAUUGCCUUGAUGAUCACCUUGUUUGCAACUUGACAUGGAAAGCCGGGUCCUAUCCAGCUAGCUUAAGAAAAGGGUUACCUAUUGCUUUCAUUCAAGUGACGCAAUGGCUACCAAUUCAUUAAUUUACUUACAAUUGCGGCAAUUAGAAAUUCACUGCUUUCUUUGAUCUUAAGGAUCAAACAGUGGUCACAAUAUUCUUCUUGGCAGUGAAGGAGAAAAAAGUGCUUUAGUGCAUCCGUUGCACCUUAUUUUGUUUUUCCUAUUGACGACAGAGUAAUAGGCAAGAUAGCCAAAACUAUUUGGUAAUAUAUCAAAAUGGAACUAGCAGGAAAUGAUACAAGUGAUGAAGCUCUACCUGCAACAUGUAGGUGACUGUUUCAAACCCUGAGAAAACAGAAGUGAUAAGAUCAGAAUUCAGAACUAAAAUCCAGUGGCAGACUUUGAAUUUGCAGUCAGAUAUUUCAAGAGUCUGAUGAAAUGCUUUCAAGUGUCUAAAUGCAGACCUCUAUGCGGAUGAUCAGGAAAUCCACCUGGAGCAGAGACUGCAAUGCGACGAAGAGAAGAAAAAUAGGAACAAAAACUUGAGUAAUAUGAUAAAGGGACUAAUGGAUUAGCGUUAAAAAACCAAUCUUGCACAAAAAUGAUCUAACUGAGAAAAAAAAAAUCCACCUGAGAAUUCGUCCAAAGCAAGGAAAGGAUCAAAAUACUUCAACUCAAACCUGACCAAAAAAAAAAAAAAAAAUCUUUACAAGCCAGACAGCACAAAUGAUGACAAUUAACAUGCAGUAUGGUUCUUUUACAUGCAUAAAACGAGACCAUCGAAGGAAUACCUUCCAAUGCUUCUUCUGACAAUAGCGCCAAGGCCCUCAGGCUGAGGCCUUGCAAGAAAUUUUCUGACAACAGGGCGAGCUUCUUGAACAGCACUGUUGUAGGACAUUGUUCUUUUUGCUUUUUUAACUCCUUUCUUUUGCCUGUUGAGUUAGCAAGUUUUUUCGAGAGAUGGAACGGAAGAAUUCGAAAAUGGAAUGGAAGAAAAAUCGGAGGUUUGUGAAGGGUAUAAAUAGGGAGGGAACAGAGACAGAAAAGAGGGGGGGAAGUUCGUUAGUCCGACUGUAUUUGGAGGGUCAAAGGGGGCAAAGGUGGCGGCCCACAUAUGAACUUGCUUGAGAUCCAGGGACUCUUUUUUUUUUUUUCUUUCUUUUCAUUUUUGUCCAUGUGAUGUCAGCAUAGCGUUAUGAUUAUGUGGUAAUGGAUCUUGUGAACUACGGUGGUUGCCUCUGGCCCUGGUUUCCGCUUGAUGGAUGGAUAAAUGGAGAUGGACCAUGUGGCUGGCCAGGGCCCAAGGCGGCAUUUUCUUCCCACCUUAUGUAAUUUCCUUUUAAUUUUAUGACGUAAUUUUUACAAAUUUUAUUAUUGUCUCUCAUUCUACUUCUAUAUUUUUUCUUUUGUGAACACAAUACAAAGCAAUUUGUUUUUAGAUGUGUGUUAAUAAGGGCUUGUCGUGCUAAUUAACACUAGUACUACAGGCACACCCAUGCGCGUGCAAUUUAAAAAUAAAUUGGUUUUUAUGAAAUUUUCUUUAACGAAUUGAUAGUUAUCUUGGUAAUUAAGGGUUAAUGGAUAAAGUUAACAUCAAGUUAACUAAGGAUUAAUGGAUAAAAUUAACUCCAUAGAUGCUUUAUUAACGUAUACAUAUCAUCGGUCCGAAUUUUCAUCCGUCAUCUUUCUUCUGUAAAUGUUACCAGAAUCUAGGGCCAAAGUUUACCAUUUUCUGUAGAGAAAGGAAAGGAAAGGAAAGGAAAUUGUGAGAGAUCUUGUGACUUUAAGGUGUUGCCAAUGCUUGAUUAGGAACAAAAUUGUUUUCAUAUUGAUUUGACCCCUUAGCGGCCAUGCAUAUGAAUAGUAAAUGAAAAACAUUUGAUGAGGAACUGAAAAUGCUCUGAAGGAUUUGAUUUAUGGGCGAAAAAUCUCUUCUACAGUUCGUAGCGACGGGCUGAUGGAGUUGGAUGACAGGAGAAAGAAAUAGAGACAUGCAACCGUUGCUCGGUUCCUCUUGAAUUAGAAAAGGCAAUGAGCGAAUAGCGCAAGGGAAAACUUGUGGGGCCAAACCAACCAACGAUUUUUGCCCCUUUGCCUUGGUGUCCUUUUCUAGUUUUCUGUGGCCCCAUUUCAAAUCCCAGAUACUUUGCCACACUUCAUUGAAAGCGUUAGGACCAAAGAAAAAAAAAUUAAGCUGAAAGGAAAUCAAUGGUCUUAAUAGUGGACACACGCAUCCUUUUGCUUCCAUGAGGAAAAAUGUGACGUCUUGAAGGAAUAUAUAUAUUAUCGUUACUCAAUUUUUUUACUAUAAAAUUAUUUUAAUUAUUAUAAGUGAAAGAUUUUGAACCGAAACCGUUAUUUACAAACUCUUCCCUCCCCCGUCCUAUCCUGCUAAUAGCAACCCUCAGUCUAGAAUCCCCCGAUGUUUUAAACAAUAACGAAAAACAAAAAAAAAUUAAAAGAACAAAAGGUCAUUUCAUUUGCUACAGAUUAAUAAAAAAAUGAAUUUGUAUGGUGUUGGAACAGCUGUCUGAAUAAAUAACAACCGAAUCAAAGCCGUCCAAUGAAUACGUUGAGAUACCAAUAGCGGGUUUCGAGAAUCAAGAAGCGGGACCAAAUUGACCAGCUGCUAAAUUCUUUUUUUUUUUCUAGUUGCGGGGGCCGUCGAGAGGGUUCUCUAUCCGUCUAUCGUAUCGUAUUGUGGGGUGGGUCCGGCUGUGAAGCCACCAUGAUCACCUAGGAGUGGACCAUGCAACGCGAGAAAUGAUGUAGUGACAACGUAGGACUUAGGUUGAGCGGCUUGCGAAGAAUGACGUAGUUAGUACAAAAGCAUGACGAGUUCAAUGCAUUUACAUAGACGAACCAUAUUGACAUUUUUAAAAAAAAUUCCUUUUCUUUUCUAUAUUCUAAAUUUCUGUCCGCUUGGGGUGUGCGUUUCUCUUUAGUGCGUGUGAGCUCUGAGUGCUUAGGUUUGUCCCACAUCGAACUUGGGAGGGGGAUUUGGGUAGUUUAUUAGGCUCCUCAGGAACCACAAAAGUUGCCGGCUUUUGUGGUUUCCUGUGGAUUAAGUUUAGUAAAAUGCAAAAGUCAUUCUGCUGACUAGAAAAAAAAGACAAACUGUCCGCUUGGGGUGUGCGUUUCUCUUUAGUGCGUGUGAGCUCUGAGUGCUUAGGUUUGUCCCACAUCGAACUUGGGAGGGGGAUUUGGGUAGUUUAUUAGGCUCCUCAGGAACCACAAAAGUUGCCGGCUUUUGUGGUUUCCUGUGGAUUAAGUUUAGUAAAAUGCAAAAGUCAUUCUGCUGACUAGAAAAAAAAGACAAACUGUCCGCUUGGGGUGUGCGUUUCUCUUUAGUGCGUGUGAGCUCUGAGUGCUUAGGUUUGUCCCACAUCGAACUUGGGAGGGGGAUUUGGGUAGUUUAUUAGGCUCCUCAGGAACCACAAAAGUUGCCGGCUUUUGUGGUUUCCUGUGGAUUAAGUUUAGUAAAAUGCAAAAGUCAUUCUGCUGACUAGAAAAAAAAACUAGGUAGAAAUUGGAAUUUUCUUUGUUUCUAUCAACUAAUGUUAUAUGUAUUCAUUCUCUAUUUUUAAUUAAUUCUACUUUUU
RNAcentral lists this long non-coding RNA (36964 nucleotides) under Coffea arabica (coffee). RNAcentral's name for it is "long non-coding RNA (CARA_LNC003619)". The record is from RNAcentral. Lineage: Eukaryota; Viridiplantae; Streptophyta; Magnoliopsida; Gentianales; Rubiaceae.